Molecule: ribosomal RNA, 400 nt
Filed under: uncultured bacterium
Lineage: Bacteria
Description: bacterial SSU rRNA
Rfam family: Bacterial small subunit ribosomal RNA
Source: RNAcentral
CAAGGCUUGACAUACACCGGAAAGCAUCAGAGAUGGUGCCCCCCUUGUGGUCGGUGUACAGGUGGUGCAUGGCUGUCGUCAGCUCGUGUCGUGAGAUGUUGGGUUAAGUCCCGCAACGAGCGCAACCCUUGUUCUGUGUUGCCAGCAUGCCCUUCGGGGUGAUGGGGACUCACAGGAGACUGCCGGGGUCAACUCGGAGGAAGGUGGGGACGACGUCAAGUCAUCAUGCCCCUUAUGUCUUGGGCUGCACACGUGCUACAAUGGCCGGUACAAAGAGCUGCGAUGCCGUGAGGCGGAGCGAAUCUCAAAAAGCCGGUCUCAGUUCGGAUUGGGGUCUGCAACUCGACCCCAUGAAGUCGGAGUUGCUAGUAAUCGCAGAUCAGCAUUGCUGCGGUGAAUA